AUAUUGGACAAUGGGCGAAAGCCUGAUCCAGCCAUGCCGCGUGUGUGAAGGAGGCCUUCGGGUUGUAAAGCACUUUUGUACGGGCAGAAAAGCAACCGGUUAAUACCCGGUUGUUCUGACGGUACCGUAAGAAUAAGCACCGGCUAACUUCGUGCCAGCAGCCGCGGUAAUACGAAGGGUGCAAGCGUUACUCGGAAUUACUGGGCGUAAAGCGUGCGUAGGUGGUCUGUUAAGUCUGAUGUGAAAGCCCUGGGCUCAACCUGGGAAUGGCAUUGGAUACUGGAAGUCUAGAGUGUGGGAGAGGGUAGUGGAAUUCCCGGUGUAGCAGUGAAAUGCGUAGAUAUCGGGAGGAACAUCCGUGGCGAAGGCGACUACCUGGACCAACACUGACACUGAGGCACGAAAGCGUGGGGAGCAAACAGG
Molecule: ribosomal RNA, 423 nt
Filed under: uncultured bacterium
Lineage: Bacteria
Description: partial 16S ribosomal RNA
Rfam family: Bacterial small subunit ribosomal RNA
Source: RNAcentral